AACGAACGCUGGCGGCGCGCUUAACACAUGCAAGUCGAGCGAGAACGGUUCCUUCGGGAACUUAGUAGAGCGGCGAACGGGUGAGUAAUGCAUGGGUAAUCUGCCUUUAAGUUUGGGACAACCUUCCGAAAGGAGGGCUAAUACCGGAUAAGACCACACAUCAUAAGGUGUGAGGGAAAAGGUGGCCUCUAUUUAUAAGCUAUCGCUUAAAGAUGAGCCCAUGUGCUAUCAGCUUGUUGGUGGGGUAACGGCCUACCAAGGCGAUGACGGCUAGCUGGUCUGGGAGGAUGAUCAGCCACACUGGGACUGAGACACGGCCCAG
Molecule: ribosomal RNA, 322 nt
Filed under: uncultured bacterium
Lineage: Bacteria
Description: bacterial SSU rRNA
Rfam family: Bacterial small subunit ribosomal RNA
Source: RNAcentral